AAGAUCGUGUCGUUCUAGAUUA
Molecule: microRNA, 22 nt
Filed under: Schmidtea mediterranea
Lineage: Eukaryota; Metazoa; Platyhelminthes; Tricladida; Dugesiidae
Description: sme-miR-61b-5p
Gene: sme-miR-61b-5p
Source: miRBase by way of RNAcentral